This is a non-coding RNA of Acanthosepion pharaonis, 110 nucleotides long. The record is from the annotation of a GenBank genome assembly. Lineage: Eukaryota; Metazoa; Mollusca; Cephalopoda; Sepiida; Sepiidae.
GUUCAAAUUAUGUCGAAACAGCAGUUCCCAUAUAAUCACCAAAGUUCAGCAUUGUUGAGCUUGGUCAGUACUUAGAUGGGUGACUGCUUGGAAAUACCAGACGCUGUAUG